CCCCAGGUCAGGCGGGAUCACCCGCUGAGUUUAAGCAUAUCAAUAA
RNAcentral lists this ribosomal RNA (46 nucleotides) under Salvia officinalis (garden sage). RNAcentral's name for it is "partial 28S ribosomal RNA". Lineage: Eukaryota; Viridiplantae; Streptophyta; Magnoliopsida; Lamiales; Lamiaceae. The record is from RNAcentral. RNAcentral also lists the same sequence under 1 other name.